AUGAUCACAUUUAAUGAUUUCAUCCGGACGCAAGGACUCAUUGAACUCCCAAUUAAAGGUAGAUCAUAUACAUGGAGCAACAUGCAAAGUUACCCCCUUCUGGAACAAUUAGACUGGUUUCUUACCUCCACUAAUUGGACAAUUUCAUACCCAAAUACAAUGGUGAAACCUUUGGGUAAACUAGUUUCAGACCAUUGA
Molecule: ribosomal RNA, 198 nt
Filed under: Triticum aestivum (bread wheat)
Lineage: Eukaryota; Viridiplantae; Streptophyta; Magnoliopsida; Poales; Poaceae
Description: partial small subunit ribosomal RNA
Source: RNAcentral